GUACUUACUUCAACCGCACAUAUACUAAAUCAGAAUGAUACAGAGAACAUCAGCAUGGGCACUGGGCAAGGAUGACACCCAAAUUCGUAAACCAUUCCAUGCUUUU
Molecule: small nuclear RNA, 106 nt
Organism: Hyaena hyaena (striped hyena)
Lineage: Eukaryota; Metazoa; Chordata; Mammalia; Carnivora; Hyaenidae
Source: RefSeq, a predicted model, not a curated record